AAUAGACGGGGACCCGCACAAGUGGUGGAGCAUUUGGUUUAAUUGGGAGAUACGCGAAGGAACCUUAUUAGCCUUGACAUUAUUUCAGAAAACUUUAGAGGAAAGAGUGGUGCCUUCGGGAGCUAAUAUACAGGUGCUGCACGGCUGUCGUCAGCUCGUGUCGUGAGAUGUUGGGUUAAGUCCCGCAACGAGCGCAACCCUCGUCACUAGUUACUAACGGUUCGGCCGAGGACUCUAGUGAGACUGCCUUCGCAAGGAGGAGGAAGGUGAGGACGACGUCAAGUCAUCAUGGCCCUUACGGCUAGGGCAACACACGUGCUACAAUGGCCAGGACAAUGAGAGGCAAUACCGCGAGGUGGAGCAAAUCUAUAAACCUGGUCUCAGUUCGGAUUGUUCUCUGCAACUCGAGAGCAUGAAGCUGGAAUCACUAGUAAUCGUAGAUCAGCUAUGCUACGGUGAAUACGUUCCCGGGUCUUGUACUCACCGCCCGUCACACCAUGGGAGUUGAUUUCACCCGAAGCGGGGAAGCUAAACUGG
RNAcentral lists this ribosomal RNA (537 nucleotides) under uncultured Gammaproteobacteria bacterium. Its description in RNAcentral is "bacterial SSU rRNA". It matches the Rfam family "Bacterial small subunit ribosomal RNA", at positions 908 to 1443 of the family's 1533-position model. Lineage: Bacteria; Pseudomonadati; Pseudomonadota; Gammaproteobacteria. The record is from RNAcentral.